This 83-nucleotide transfer RNA is filed under the name Parcubacteria group bacterium ADurb.Bin216. Its description in RNAcentral is "tRNA-Leu". It matches the Rfam family "tRNA". Rfam says of the family: Transfer RNA (tRNA) molecules are approximately 80 nucleotides in length. Their secondary structure includes four short double-helical elements and three loops (D, anti-codon, and T loops). RNAcentral also lists the same sequence under 1 other name. The record is from RNAcentral.
GCCGAGGUGGCGGAACUGGCAGACGCGUAUGCCUUAGGAGCAUAUGUCGCAAGGCGUGAGGGUUCAAAUCCCUCCUUCGGCAC